This 531-nucleotide ribosomal RNA is filed under the name uncultured archaeon. RNAcentral describes it as "bacterial SSU rRNA". It matches the Rfam family "Archaeal small subunit ribosomal RNA", at positions 321 to 856 of the family's 1478-position model. The record is from RNAcentral.
CCCUACGGGGCGCAGCAGGCGCGAAAACUUUACAAUGCGAGCAAUCGUGAUAAGGGAACUCCGAGUGCCCGUAAAAUCGGGCUGUCCGCCAGUUUAAAUCACUGGUGAAGAAAGGGCCGGGCAAGACCGGUGCCAGCCGCCGCGGUAAUACCGGCGGCUCGAGUGGUGGCCACUAUUACUGGGCUUAAAGCGUUCGUAGCUGGCUUGUUAAGUCUCUGGGGAAAUCUUCCGGCUUAACCGGAAGGCGUCUCAGGGAUACUGGCAGGCUAGGGACUGGAAGAGGUGAGAGGUACUCCAGGGGUAGGAGUGAAAUCCUGUAAUCCUUGGGGGACCACCUGUGGCGAAGGCGUCUCACCAGGACGGCUCCGACAGUGAGGAACGAAAGCUGGGGGAGCAAACCGGAUUAGAUACCCGGGUAGUCCCAGCUGUAAACGAUGCGCGUUAGGUGUAUCGGUGACCACGAGUCACCGAGGUGCCGAAGAGAAAUCGUGAAACGCGCCGCCUGGGAAGUACGGUCGCAAGGCUGAAACU